AUGUCCUCUGCUGCUGUUGUGGUCACUGCUGCGCUGCUGCUGCUGCUAUCGCCCUUGGGCACCGUGGCACAGCCACCGGCUACUGGGAUGAGUAAAUGCACCACCCUCUGCGGCAAUAUCAGCAUCCCAUACCCGUUCGGGGUGGAGCCUGGCUGCUACCACGACAGCGGCUUCAACCUCACCUGCAACCAGUCCUACAGCCCGCCCCAGCUCUUCCUCGGCGACAGCACCGUUCAGGUGCGCGACAUCGAUCUGCCCAGCGCCACGGGAAACCCAUACAUCUCCGAUGGCUGCUAUGCUAAUAAUACACUGCUCAAGUAA
This 321-nucleotide ribosomal RNA is filed under the name Triticum aestivum (bread wheat). RNAcentral describes it as "partial small subunit ribosomal RNA". Lineage: Eukaryota; Viridiplantae; Streptophyta; Magnoliopsida; Poales; Poaceae. The record is from RNAcentral.